RNAcentral lists this transfer RNA (75 nucleotides) under Hyphomicrobium sp. Its description in RNAcentral is "tRNA-Val". It matches the Rfam family "tRNA". Rfam says of the family: Transfer RNA (tRNA) molecules are approximately 80 nucleotides in length. Their secondary structure includes four short double-helical elements and three loops (D, anti-codon, and T loops). Lineage: Bacteria; Pseudomonadati; Pseudomonadota; Alphaproteobacteria; Hyphomicrobiales; Hyphomicrobiaceae. The record is from RNAcentral. RNAcentral also lists the same sequence under 1 other name.
GGGCGGUUAGCUCAGUGGCAGAGCGCUUCGUUUACACCGAAGAUGUCGGGAGUUCGACCCUCUCACCGCCCACCA